RNAcentral lists this ribosomal RNA (468 nucleotides) under uncultured bacterium. RNAcentral's name for it is "partial 16S ribosomal RNA". It matches the Rfam family "Bacterial small subunit ribosomal RNA", at positions 28 to 507 of the family's 1533-position model. The record is from RNAcentral.
GACGAACGCUGGCGGCGUGCUUAACACAUGCAAGUCGAACGGAAAGGCCCUGCUUUUGUGGGGUGCUCGAGUGGCGAACGGGUGAGUAACACGUGAGUAACCUGCCCUUGACGUUGGGAUAACUUCAGGAAACUGGGGCUAAUACCGGAUAGGAGCUCCUGCUGCAUGGUGGGGGUUGGAAAGUUUCGGCGGUUGGGGAUGGACUCGCGGCUUAUCAGCUUGUUGGUGGGGUAGUGGCUUACCAAGGCUUUGACGGGUAGCCGGCCUGAGAGGGUGACCGGCCACAUUGCGACUGAGAUACGGCCCAGCCUCCUCCGGGAGGCAGCGGUGGAGAAUAUUGCACAAUGGGCGGAAGCCAGAUGCAGCAACGCCGCGUGCGGUAUGACGGCCUUCGGGUUGUAAACCGCUUUCGCCUGUGACGAAGCGUGAGUGACGGUAAUGGGUAAAGAAGCACCGGCUAACUACGUG